This 484-nucleotide ribosomal RNA is filed under the name uncultured bacterium. Its description in RNAcentral is "partial 16S ribosomal RNA". It matches the Rfam family "Bacterial small subunit ribosomal RNA", at positions 30 to 507 of the family's 1533-position model. The record is from RNAcentral.
AUUGAACGCUGGCGGCAUGCUUUACACAUGCAAGUCGAACGGUAACAGGGAGCUUGCUCCGCUGACGCGUGGCGAACGGGGGAGUAAUAUAUCGGAACGUACCCAAGAGUGGGGGAUAACGUAGCGAAGGUUACGCUAAUACCGCAUACGAUCUAUGGAUGAAAGCAGGGGACCUUCGGGCCUUGUGCUCCGGGAGGGGCCGAUAUCUGAUUAGCUAGUUGGUGAGGUAAAGGCUCACCAAGGCGACGAUCAGUAGCUGGUCUGAGAGGACGACCAGCCACACUGGAACUGAGACACGGUCCAGACUCCUACGGGAGGCAGCAGUGGGGAAUGUUGGACAAUGGGCGCAAGCCUGAUCCAGCAAUGCCGCGUGAGUGAAGAAGGCCUUCGGGUUGUAAAGCUCUUUUGUCAGGGAAGAAACGGCUGUGGCUAAUAUCCACGGCUAAUGACGGUACCUGAAGAAUAAGCACCGGCUAACUACGUG